RNAcentral lists this ribosomal RNA (327 nucleotides) under uncultured Leptolinea sp. RNAcentral describes it as "bacterial SSU rRNA". It matches the Rfam family "Bacterial small subunit ribosomal RNA", at positions 1043 to 1382 of the family's 1533-position model. The record is from RNAcentral. Lineage: Bacteria; Bacillati; Chloroflexota; Anaerolineae; Anaerolineales; Anaerolineaceae.
GCAUGGCUGUCGUCAGCUCGUGUCGUGAGAUGUUCGGUUAAGUCCGCUAACGAGCGCAACCCUCGCUGUGUGUUAUAUGUGUCGACACGGGACUGCCGGUCGUUAAGCCGGAGGAAGUGGGGAUGAGUGUCAAGUCAGCAUGGCCUUUAUAUCCUGGGCUACACACACGCUACAAUGGCCAACACAAUAGGUUGCUAAGCCGCGAGGUGGCGCCAAUCCAUAAAGUUGGUCUCAGUUCAGAUUGUAGGCUGCAACCCGCCUGCAUGAAGAUGGAGUUGCUAGUAACCGCAGGUCAGCUAUACUGCGGUGAAUACGUUCCCGGGGCUU